This 253-nucleotide ribosomal RNA is filed under the name uncultured bacterium. Its description in RNAcentral is "partial 16S ribosomal RNA". It matches the Rfam family "Bacterial small subunit ribosomal RNA", at positions 524 to 776 of the family's 1533-position model. The record is from RNAcentral.
UACGUAGGGUCCAAGCGUUGUCCGGAUUUACUGGGUAUAAAGGGUGCGCAGGCGGAUCUGUGCGUCGGAGGUUAAAGACCCGGGCUCAACCCGGGAAGUGCCUUCGAUACGGCAGAUCUUGAGUACGAGAGAGGAUAGUAGAAUUCCUGGUGUAGCGGUGAAAUGCGUAGAUAUCAGGAGGAAUACCAGUGGCGAAGGCGGCUAUCUGGCUCGUAACUGACGCUUAGGCACGAAAGCGUGGGGAUCAAACAGG